UGGCCGGUUGCGAGGUGUUGCAUGGUUGUCGUCAGCUCGUGCCGUGAGGUGUCGGGUUAAGUCCCAUAACGAGCGCAACCCCUACUGCUAGUUGCCAGCGGGUCAUGCCGGGGACGUCUAGCGGAACUGCCAGCGUAAGCUGCGAGGAAGGUGGGGAUGACGUCAAAUCAGCACGGCCCUUACGUCCAGGGCUACACACGUGUUACAAUGGCCAGUACAGAGGGCAGCCACCCCGCGAGGGGGCGCUAAUCCUAAAAGCUGGUCCCAGUUCGGAUCGGAGUCUGCAACCCGACUCCGUGAAGCUGGAUUCGCUAGUAAUCGCGCAUCAGCCACGGCGCGGUGAAUACGUUCCCGGGCCUU
RNAcentral lists this ribosomal RNA (360 nucleotides) under uncultured Rikenellaceae bacterium. Its description in RNAcentral is "bacterial SSU rRNA". It matches the Rfam family "Bacterial small subunit ribosomal RNA", at positions 1024 to 1382 of the family's 1533-position model. Lineage: Bacteria; Pseudomonadati; Bacteroidota; Bacteroidia; Bacteroidales; Rikenellaceae. The record is from RNAcentral.